AUCAUCAAGCUUGCUUUGAUGGAUGGCGACCGGCGCACGGGUGAGUAACACGUAUCCAACCUGCCGACAACGCUGGGAUAGCCUUUCGAAAGAAAGAUUAAUACCGGAUGGCAUAAUUAUUCCGCAUGGGAUAAUUAUUAAAGAAUUUCGGUUGUCGAUGGGGAUGCGUUCCAUUAGGCAGUUGGCGGGGUAACGGCCCACCAAACCAACGAUGGAUAGGGGUUCUGAGAGGAAGGUCCCCCACAUUGGAACUGAGACACGGUCCAAACUCCUACGGGAGGCAGCAGUGAGGAAUAUUGGUCAAUGGACGAGAGUCUGAACCAGCCAAGUAGCGUGAAGGAUGACUGCCCUAUGGGUUGUAAACUUCUUUUAUACGGGAAUAAAGUUAGCCACGUGUGGCUUUUUGUAUGUACCGUAUGAAUAAGGAUCGGCUAACUCCGUGCCAGCAGCCGCGGUAAUACGGAGGAUCCGAGCGUUAUCCGGAUUUAUUGGGUUUAAAGGGAGCGUAGGCGGGUUGUUAAGUCAGUUGUGAAAGUUUGCGGCUCAACCGUAAAAUUGCAGUUGAUACUGGCGACCUUGAGUGCAACAGAGGUAGGCGGAAUUCGUGGUGUAGCGGUGAAAUGCUUAGAUAUCACGAAGAACUCCGAUUG
Molecule: ribosomal RNA, 650 nt
Filed under: uncultured Bacteroides sp.
Lineage: Bacteria; Pseudomonadati; Bacteroidota; Bacteroidia; Bacteroidales; Bacteroidaceae
Description: bacterial SSU rRNA
Rfam family: Bacterial small subunit ribosomal RNA
Source: RNAcentral